RNAcentral lists this ribosomal RNA (39 nucleotides) under Sanguisorba alpina. RNAcentral describes it as "partial 26S ribosomal RNA". Lineage: Eukaryota; Viridiplantae; Streptophyta; Magnoliopsida; Rosales; Rosaceae. The record is from RNAcentral.
CGCGUCCCCAGGUCAGGCAGGGUUACCCACUGAAUUUAA